Long non-coding RNA from Sebastes umbrosus (honeycomb rockfish), 393 nucleotides. RefSeq lists it as uncharacterized. The transcript has 3 exons. NCBI's taxonomy places the organism in Eukaryota, Metazoa, Chordata, Actinopteri, Perciformes, Sebastidae. The record is from RefSeq and is a predicted model, not a curated record.
CGUAGUACAGGUCACAGGAGGAAUGGUGGAUGGGUAAAAAAAAGACAAGACUUUCAAACAGGAGACUGCUGUUCGUACGUUGACUUAUUUUGUCACGUCAAUCGUUAGUCACGUGACUCGUCUGUAUCGUCAGCCCCGAGUCGCUAUAGUCAGCGAACCACGACCGUUUCCUAACACUAACUAAGUGGUUGUGUUGCCUAAACCUUACUUCCGGGGAAGUUUAUUUUGAAAGGCAUGUAAUGAGUGUAUAUUGCCAUGCCAUCCCUGGUCCGUCCAAAAAUAACACAAGAGGGGUACUACCCCGUGCGUCAGUCUCCGAUGCCGAGGGGCGCUGACCAAGCGGCGGUAUGUGACAAGUUGGGUGUGAGAAUGUGUUGAUUUGAUCUGAUCAGU